RNAcentral lists this long non-coding RNA (8184 nucleotides) under Gossypium barbadense (sea-island cotton). RNAcentral describes it as "long non-coding RNA (GBAR_LNC004768)". The record is from RNAcentral. Lineage: Eukaryota; Viridiplantae; Streptophyta; Magnoliopsida; Malvales; Malvaceae.
GCAUUGCAAAGAACUUGACCCAAAGAUAAUGGUAGAGUGUUGCUCUAGAAUGGAAGAGUCAUUGCAUUAUACAUAUAAAAUCUAUAGGAAAAGGAACAUAAUUGCAGCUUUGGAGAUUAGGGUGGUAAAGCAAGGAAUUUUUGAAGCACUAAUGGAUUACUAUGUGUCCAAAGGAACUUCAUUGAGCCAAUACAAAAAACCUAGUUGCAUUAAAUCUGAGGAAGUCUUGAAGAUAUUAGAUUCAAGAGUGAUAGGAAAGUAUUUCAUCCCCAAAUCACCGUUAUAAUUAGUUUGCAUCAGUUCUUGUUUAAGAUUACCUAAUCCUUCCUAUGUAUAAAAACUCAGGAGAAUAAUCCUUUUCACUUUAUUGUGUAGGCAUACAUUAAUGUUUGGUAAAGCUAUUAAUAUUUUGUUUCGAACUUAAAGGCAAGAUUACACACGUAUUCUCAUGUAAUUUUCUUAUGAAUCGUUUGAUACAUUAUGGGAAAGUUGAUAUGGCAAUAUCAAAGGGCUUUAUAUGCAUGGAAGAAAAUAUUUGGUUUAUUUCUUAACGUAGUGCCUAAUGCUCUCUAUAAGGUAGGUAAAGUGGAAGAAGUUGUAGAAUUGAUCAUGAUUGAUGAGAUGAAGGGUAAUUUCCCCCUGAUAUUAUUUACUACACUACUUUAAUCAAUGGAUAUUGUCUUCAAGGUAUAGCUAAAGAUGCAUUGAGCUUGUUCGAGGAGAUAAUGGAGAAAAGUCACAAGCCUUUGAUAUUGUUUCUUACGGUGUCUUUGUUAGGGGCUUAGCUAGAACUGCUCUUACAGAAGAAGUGAUCAAUCUCUGGGAUUAUGUAGAGACGCAAGGUUUGAAGUGUAACACUAUCAUUAUGUAAAAGUGGGAAAGUAAAGGAAGCUGAAGCCUUCUUACAUACGAUCAAUUUUGAGGAUUAAUUGUUACACCUCAAACCUGACUUGAGAGUCCAAUCAAAUUUGGAAUAUUACAAUAGUUAUCGGAAUGACCCACUCGAUCAGUCAUUCAAUUAAUGCGAUUAACCAAUUAAUUCAUUUUAACAAAUCUGAUUAUCAAAUUUAAAACUAAAAAACUCAAAUAAAUUAAUCGUUCAAUUCAAACACACAAGGAUCGCUUGCCUUAAACUAAAUAUUUAACCAAUAUAAAAAUAACCCACAAAUCCGAUAGACCUAAGUACAUGCCAAAGCUAAACUAAGUGAAAACGUCGUCACAAACUAAGUAUUGCGAGGACUCUUUGGUAAUACUAUUCGGUUUGAAACUUAUGAAUCAUUUAUAAUUGACGUACGGAAUUAAAAAUCCAAAUGCUAAUCAGUUUACAACUUAAUGGUAAUCUAAUACAUUUUAAACUACCAUAUAUAUAUAUCUAACUCUACUUUGGAAUUAAAAACCAAAUAUAUCACAAGAAAUUAAAACCUAAAUUAACUUAGCUAACCGAUAUCCAAUAUCAAAAACUAUUUAAGCGAGCGAUCAGCGGCUAUUUUGACGAUUGACCAGCAGUAUUUUUGAGGAAAGCAAUGGGGCAAUAAACAAGGCUUUUGGAUGGAGAUUCAAUGGCAAUUUGGAGGUACUUUUUAGGGUUUAGCCAAAUCUUGCAUAAAUAAAAAUCCUAAUUUAAAAAUAAAAAUUAAAUCUAAAUCUUGCAUAAAAAAAUCCCUUAUUUUAUUCCUAACUAAAAUGAGAAAAAAUAACAUAUUUGCUUGUUUGAAAAACAAAUGUAAAUUAAAAUAAUAUUUAUUUGAUUGUAUUUAUUAAUUAAUAUAAUUUAUUAUUAAAACUUAAUUCUAAAAAUGACAGUCAAUUUAAAUAUAAUAAAAAAGAAAAGAAAGUAUUUUGAGUUUUUGAUUAGCUCUUUUAGUUUAAAGUACUCCCUUUUUUUUUAAAUUAAGUUUAUUAUACCCAUCUAGCUUUGGACAUGAGUCAGUAUUGCAAGUCAUUUGAGAAGGUAGUUCUCUAUUUUCUGUUAUUUGGGUAAUUAUCGAAUGACCCACAUCUCGAAAGGGUUCUAGACUCUUGAGAAUAAGUCGUUUACUGUUGUAAACAAAUUACUCGCUCCCUUCAGAAAGGUAUUGUUCAUUCGUUUUUGUGAAUAGCCCAUCCUACAUAUAAAUGAAUACAAACAUUCUCUUAUAAAUAUAAUUAUAUUUAUUUUAAUAUUAAUAAAGCAUGUCUUACAUUCAUUAUCAACAAAGGGCACCUUAACCAAUAUAUAUUAAAAAAUAUUAUUUUAAAAGUAAUCAAGAUUGAAUCUUCAACAAAGUAAGAUAUAAUGAUGACAUAAAAUUAUAAAAAUCAUAUCAACUAAACCUCUUUCGGCCUACAAUUAUGUGUUACAUUGGCUUUUGAAAAUUGGAAGAGGCAUAAAUUGGUACUCAAUUACAUUAAAAUUCAACUUUCUCAUGCUUAGUUUUAAUAUAUUUAAUAUAUUAUUGAAUCAUGUUUUAAUCAUUUCAUUGAUGCCAUAAUGUUUAUCAUGUGUGUCGACAUGUGUGGGUCUAGUCCAAUGAAUCUUAUUAUGUUUAGCGAUAGGUAGAGAUUCCAUUGCCAAAAGCUACAAAAUCCCCAAAAAGAAAACAAAAAAAGCUAUCUGGAUCUCAGUAAUAGGGUUCAUGGCAAUGAAUGGGUAUGAAGGUGGGUUGAAGAUGAUUGAGGAACUGACUACAAAUGCUGAGCAAACUCAAGACGAGGUAUUGAGGGAAAUACUAAGUAGAAAUGUAGGAACAGGGUAUUUAAUGGGAUUCCUCCAUGGUCAAACCGAGAAGUGGCUCUUUAAGAAAAAUGUUCUCGUAGUUACGUAUGAAGAUCUCAAGCCUUUCAUAGAUAGGAUUGCUAAUAGGGAGACAUCAGAAAUCCUUUUAGCUAAACCCGUUACAGGGUUCUAUCUAAGGCAUGCAUGAAUUUGUUGCUUUGCUUUUGUGUGUUUUAGGGUAUUGGUUGCUUUCUUCUAAUUGCUCUAUUAUCUUUUGGAUCAAAUGCAGUUCUGGGACUUCAGGCGGGCAGCCAAAGCUGAUGCCUGUCACUGCUGAAUAUCAAAAGAAUGGGGCAUUAUAUGAUACCUUGAGCCAGUCUCCGACGAUGAGGUAUGAACCCAUACCAAUUUCUUUGUUUCAAUUUUUCAUUCAGCCACAUGUGAAAUCAAACCUUUUACUCAUUGAUCAAUCAAACCUUUUACAAAUAAACAGAGUUUAACUAGAAGAUUAUUUCUCAAAUUUGACUGAAAUAGGAGUCAUUCUUAACAAAUCUCCACCUUGACUCAUAUUUUCACAACGUCGUCUUUGCCAAAGCUUGCUACGAGCCUAUCUUGAACCAUGUAGGGAAUUAACUGAGUCGAAUCUAUGCUUAGAAACUGAAAGAUUUCUAGCCUUUGACUUGUACACUGCCAAAUUAAAACUAACCCGGGUUUGAUUUUCACAAACACAGUGCCCUAACUUUUCAAAACCUGUAUCCAAAAGAGAAACUCUCUUCAACGAAAUGGUCAUACCAUUUUCCCUCCUAUGACCAAGUUGCCUCCGCUCCAAACGAGUUAACUUCGACUCUAUAACGGACGAUGAUGUCCGAUUUCACCGGUCACUGUAAAACCUUCCAGAAUAUAAAGACUGCCGGUUCUUUUACCUUUUAACAAAACUAGAGCUCCAUGAGAUACUUUAAUGCCGCUCAAAUCGAUGUUGAUUUUGCAUCAUUUCAAGUCUAAAAUAAUUAAUGAGAUGAGAUUCUUUCGUAAAUCAAGUACAUAUCUGAUAUCUAAUAGUGUCUUAAUCGUCCUAUUGUGUAUCCUAAUUUUAAUAGUACCAAUAUCAAUUACCUUACUAGAUGAAUUGUUUCCCAUGCGCACAACUCCAUAUUCAACCGAACUGUCUCUGGAGAACCAUUCUCUAUAUGGACACAUAUGGAAAGAACAUCUCGAAUCUAGGAUCCACUCAGACGUGAGCUUGGAGUUAUCGCUCGUUGAAACUAACAAGAAAUUAUCACCACUUUCAUCGGCCAAAUUAACACCAGCUACAUCUUCCUCGUUACUCUCAGCCACUUUUUAUUUCGCAGUUUAUAACAAUCUGCUUUGACGUGAAUAGCGACACCUUUUUUCUUGUUUCUUUAAUGCUACCAAAAUGGAAACUUGCUUAUCUGCCUUGCUAUCCAAACCAAACUCAUUGUUGAGUUUGUCUCUACUCAACAAAUGACCCUUCACAUCUUCGAACAAGAGUUUGUCUCUGCCAUAAAUUAUGGUCUCUUUAAAAGACUUGUAUAGAGCACAAUAAUAUCAUAGCCUGAUUUUCAUCGUCAAUAUGAACCUCAAAUUUCUUUAAAUAAUUUUAAAAAGUAAUGAAUUUACUGAUGUGAUCUCUAAGAAGCUCACCUUCGUUCAUGCGAAAUGUAAAUGGACGUUGUUUCAACACUAAACGGUUAGCCAGAGACAUAGUCACAUGAAGAGUUUUUAACCUUUUCCACAAGGCAGAUGAGGUUUUCUCCAUUAAUACCUCCUGCAAUACCGUAUUCGCGAGGCAUAAUUGGAUUGCAGACAAUGCCUUUUCAUCAUGCUCUUCUGAUUCUAUUUGAUUUAGAUUCUCAGGCUUUUUCCUGGUAACAACCUUUUUCAAGCCGAUUUGAACUAGAAUUGCCAUCAUCCGAACUUGCCACAAAUUGAAAUUUAUCUCACCAUUGAACUUCUCAAUUUCAAACAUUGUUGCUGCCAUAUCUGAAUGGGUUAAUUUAUGAAAAUUGAACUAGCUCUGAUACCACUUGUUAGGAUCAACCCGAUUAAGCAACGAACAAGUAAAAAAAUAGUAUAAGAAAUUGAUAAAUUUAACACACAAAUUUAACGUGGAAAAACUUCUCCAAAGAAGAUAAAAAACCACGAGUAAAAAUCAUUUUACUAUAAUGGCAAAAUAACGAAGAGUGCAAAAGAUAGAGAUAAAAACUAAACCCUGAAAACCCGAAAACAAAGAACCCUCAAAACGUAAACACAAAACUCUUUAAAUGUGUUAUAAGUUCUAAUAUCUAAUGGGUGUAUUUUCUAAGAUUGUAAAAGAGCCUAUUUAUAGGCUAAAUUCAUAGGUCAAAUAAUAAUAAAAUAAUCUAAACUAAUUAGUGUUUGAUUGAAACAAAUAAACAAAGUUUAACUAGAAGAUUAUUUCUCAAAUUUGACUAAAAUAGAGGUCAUACUUAACAGUGGUAGUUAAAGAAAUAGAUAUAAUAAUAAAUUUAGCCCUAAACUUUUACAUAUUAUAUCAAUUUAGUCAUAAUUUUAAAAAAUUAAUCCUCAAAAUCUAUACUCUCAAUUUGAUCUUAAUUCUAAAAAAAACAUAAAUAUUUUCAAAAAAUUAUAAUAAUUAUUAUUAAAUAAAUAAUAAUAAAAAGAAAUAGGAGAACAAAGAGAAAUACGUAAUUUUACUGAUCAAUAGAGAUGUGUACAAUGCUUUUCCAAAAUCUAUAUUUAUAGACAUAAGACAUGUAAAUGAAAUAAACUCUACUUCUAAUUAGUCUUUGAGUCUUGAAGUAUAUAAAAUUUAUCUUGAUAUUGAUGGACAUCCACCUAAUAAUAAAAUAUUUAUAACAAUAAUAAUAACAAAUUUAAAAUUUAUAUUAAUAAUAUUAAUAUUAAAUAAAUAUAAUUAUAUUAAUUACUAAAUUGAUAUAAUAUGUUGAGGGCUAAAUUUAUUAUUAUACCAAUUCUUUUAAUUGCCACAUCAGCCUUCUGUUGGUGAUUUUAAUGAGAGGGGCCAAAAUAGCCGAACUAGAUAACGUGAGUGUUUAAAUUGCAAAUAAUUUUUAGUUUCUAAAAUGAUUUUUUUUAUAAUUAAGUGACUAUUUGUAUAGUUUAUAUCUUAGAAAAAAUUCUCCUCAAUAAAGACAACCCAAUAAAUAUUUAAAAAGAAGUACACUACCGAUUUACCAAAUACUAACUCAUAUAUAAUAUUAUAAUGUAAAUAUUAAGAUAAUUAUAUAACUAAUAUAAAUAUAUAUAUAAUUUUAGCUUUCAAAAAAUAAUAUUAUUUUAAUUUUUUUGUAUUUAUACUAUUAAUAAACUCUUUAAUUAAGUUGGUGUCAAAGGUUAACUAAGCACCACCUGUGACACUAACUUAGCUAUGAAAAUUAUAAAAAUAAAAUUCCGUACUUAAAAUAAAUUAUAUUAUUUAAGGAUACUUUAGCUUUUUUUAAUAAAAUUUAUUCAUAUUGUGAGAUUUGAAUCCAAACCAAUUGCAUUGGUACAACUUUAAAUUUACCACUCAUCCAAACACUUUUUUUUUUAUUUCUUUAUGCGUUUUAAUUUUAUUAUGCACAAUUUAUUACCUCCAUUAAUUGUAUAUAUUGUAUUCUAAAUACGCAAUUUUCACAUGCAUACAUGCGUAAUAGAAUUUCUUAUUAACAAUGUUCUUGAUUGAGUUAUUGUCACAACUAACUCGACACCAACUCAGAACUGAUAACACAACAAUGAUAAACAAUUAUAUUCAUUUAGUAUUUUUAAUCUUAUGUAUUUUUAUGUUUAAAUAUCAUUUUACUCAUAACUUAAUUUAUUUUUUUUAUUUUAAUAUCACAGAUAUUUCAUGUGUUACUAUUAAUUGAUUCUAAUUUAUUUAUUGUAUAUUAUUUUUAAAUAAGUCUUUAUAUUCUAAAUAUGUGAUUUCUUAUAUAUACACGUGUAAUAAAAUUUCUAAUUUUCAUUAUCAUGUCAUUUUAUACGAGACUUUAUCCGUCUAAUUUUAAAGGCACUUUGGUGACAUCAACCAAGCCGGUAAAAGAAUGGAGCUUAUGUUUGCCAGACCAGAGAUUGAAACUCCUAGUGGCCUCAAGGCAGCAUCUGUUUUAACGAGCGUAUACAACGAGAGUAAGUUUAGAACCAUUUUGCCUAAGCUUUACACAAGCCCCAUUGAGACCAUCUUUUGCCCAGACCCCAACCAGGGCUUAUACUGUCAAUUACUUUUUGGUUUAAUCCAACGAGACGAGGUUGUCAGGGUUGGUUCACUAUUUGCAUCUACGGUGCUAAGAGGUAUCAAGUUUCUAGAAAAUCACUGGCAAGAGCUAUCCUAUGACAUAAAAACAGGUCGAUUAAGCGAUUGGAUCACCGACUCAGGAUGCAGAAAUGCAGCCUCAUUGGUCAUGAAGCCUAACCCAGAACAGGCUGACUUGAUAGAGAACAUAUCUAAUUGUAAAUCAUGGGAAGGAAUAGUCACAAAGCUAUGGCCCAAAGCAAGGUAUAUUAGUUGUGUUUGUACUGGCGUUAUGAGACAGUAUAUUGCAGAACUCGAGUUCUAUUGCAGAGGGCUCCCUUUAGUUUCAACUUUUUAUGCUUGCUCGGAAGCUCUUUGUGGGAUUAACUUAGAACCUCUAUGUAAACCUUGUGAUGUCUCCUACACAUUUCUCCCUAACAUGGCUUACUUUGAAUUCCUUCCUGUGGAAAAUGAUCAUGAUGAAUCUAUUGAAAUGAAGAGGAACGAUGAAGAUACUGAACUUGUUGAUCUUGUAAAUGUGAAGGUUGGUCAAUGUUAUGAACUAGUUGUCUCAACUUGUGCAGGUAAAAUUUCCUCCUUUGAAUUUAAUCAAUUAAUCAAAUGCCAUCUUCUAAUUUUGCAUUAUGCUUCCUAGUUCCUACAUUAACCUGUUAGAUAAUGAUCUGAUCUAGUUUGAUGGUAUUCCUUUCAGGAUUAUAUCGAUAUAAAGUUGGAGAUGUUCUUAUGGUGAGUGGUUUCUACAAUAAUGCACCUCAAUUCCAAUUUGUGGAGAGGAAAAAUGUUAUCCUCAAUGUUGAUCAGGAAAAAACAAGCGAAACAGACCUUUUCAAGGCCGUGAUAGAAGCAAAGGCUCUUCUCGAUCCACUCGGAUUCAUCUUGACAGAGUACACUAGCUAUGUUGAUACUUCUUCAGCACCAGGUCACUAUGUAUUAUUUUGGGAGAUCAAGGGAAAAGAAGGGAAGCAUUGCAAAGAGCUUGACCCAAAGAUAAUGGUAGAGUGUUGCACUAGAAUGGAAGAGUCGUUGCAUUAUACAUAUAAAAUCUAUAGGAAAAGGAACAUAAUUGCAGCUCUGGAGACUAGGGUGGUAAAGCAAGGAAGUUUUGAGGCACUAAUGGAUUACUAUGUGUCCAAAGGAACUUCAUUGAGCCAAUACAAAAAACCUAAUUGUAUUAAAUCUGAGGAAGCCUUGAAGAUAUUAGAUUCGAGAGUGAUAGGAAAGUAUUUCAGCCCCA